This 440-nucleotide ribosomal RNA is filed under the name uncultured bacterium. RNAcentral's name for it is "partial 16S ribosomal RNA". It matches the Rfam family "Bacterial small subunit ribosomal RNA", at positions 338 to 795 of the family's 1533-position model. The record is from RNAcentral.
CCUACGGGUGGCAGCAGUGGGGAAUAUUGCACAAUGGGGGAAACCCUGAUGCAGCAACGCCGCGUGAGGGAAGACGGUUUUCGGAUUGUAAACUUCUGUUCUUAGUGAAGAAUAAUGACGGUAGCUAAGGAGCAAGCCACGGCUAACUACGUGCCAGCAGCCGCGGUAUACGUAGGUGGCAAGCGUUGUCCGGAAUUACUGGGUGUAAAGGGAGCGCAGGCGGGUAGGCAAGUCAGCGGUGAAAACUACGGGCUGAACUUGUAGACUGCAGUUGAAACUGGUUUUCUUGAGUGCAGUAGAGGAUGGGGGAAGUCCGAGGGUAGCGGUGAAAUGCGUAGAUAUUCGGAGGAACACCGGUGGCGAAGGCGGCCAACUGGGCUGUAACUGACGCUGAGGCUCGAAAGUGUGGGGAGCAAACAGGAUUAGAUACCCGUGUAGUC